GACGAACGCUGGCGGCGUGCUUAACACAUGCAAGUCGAACGGUAAGGCCCUUCGGGGUACACGAGUGGCGAACGGGUGAGUAACACGUGAGUAACCUGCCCUUGACUCUGGGAUAACAGUUGGAAACAGCUGCUAAUACUGGAUAUUCAGCCUUCUGCGCAUGUGGGGGGUUGGAAAGAUUUUUUGGUUGAGGAUGGGCUCGCGGCCUAUCAGCUUGUUGGUGGGGUGAUGGCCUACCAAGGCUUCGACGGGUAGCCGGCCUGAGAGGGCGACCGGCCACACUGGGACUGAGAUACGGCCCAGACUCCUACGGGAGGCAGCAGUGGGGAAUAUUGCGCAAUGGGCGGAAGCCUGACGCAGCAACGCCGCGUGCGGGAUGACGGCCUUCGGGUUGUAAACCGCUUUCAGCAGGGACGAAGCUUUUGUGACGGUACCUGCAGAAGAAGCACCGGCCAACUACGUG
RNAcentral lists this ribosomal RNA (463 nucleotides) under uncultured bacterium. RNAcentral describes it as "bacterial SSU rRNA". It matches the Rfam family "Bacterial small subunit ribosomal RNA", at positions 28 to 507 of the family's 1533-position model. The record is from RNAcentral.